UGGAUCCAGACUUUGAUCAUGGCUCAGGAUGAACGCUAGCUACAGGCUUAACACAUGCGAGUCGAGGGGCAGCAUGAAGUUUGCUUGCAAACUUUGAUGGCGACCGGCGCACGGGUGAGUAACGCGUAUCGAACCUGCCUCAUACCCGGGGACAGCCUUGCGAAAGUAAGAUUAAUACCCGAUGUUUCCGGCGCGCCGCAUGACGUGUCGGGCAAAGAUUUAUCAGUAUGAGAUGGCGAUGCGUCCCAUUAGCUUGUUGGCGGGGUAACGGCCCACCAAGGCAUCGGUGGGUAGGGGUUCUGAGAGGAAGGUCCCCCACAUUGGAACUGAGACACGGUCCAAACUCCUACGGGAGGCAGCAGUGAGGAAUAUUGGUCAAUGGACGAGAGUCUGAACCAGCCAAGUAGCGUGCAGGAAGACGGCCCUCCGGGUUGUAAACUGCUUUUAGUUGGGAAUAAAGUGCAUCACGUGUGAUGUUUUGUAUGUACCAUCGGAAAAAGGACCGGCUAAUUCCGUGCCAGCAGCCGCGGUAAUACGGAAGGCCCGGACGUUAUCCGGAUUUAUUGGGUUUAAAGGGAGCGUAGGCCGGGGAUUAAGCGUGUUGUGAAAUACUGAUGCUCAACAUCAGCACUGCAGCGCGAACUGGUUCUCUUGAGUGCGUAGGAAGUUGGCGGAAUUCGUGGUGUAGCGGUGAAAUGCUUAGAUAUCACGAAGAACUCCGAUUGCGAAGGCAGCUGACUGUAUCGUAACUGACGCUGAAGCUCGAAAGUGUGGGUAUCGAACAGGAUUAGAUACCCUGGUAGUCCACACGGUAAACGAUGGAUGCUCGCUGUUCGGCCUUUAUGGUUGAGCGGCUUAGGGAAACCGUUAAGCAUCCCACCUGGGGAGUACGCCGGCAACGGUGCAACUCAAAGGAAUUGACGGA
Molecule: ribosomal RNA, 925 nt
Filed under: uncultured Bacteroidota bacterium
Lineage: Bacteria; Pseudomonadati; Bacteroidota
Description: bacterial SSU rRNA
Rfam family: Bacterial small subunit ribosomal RNA
Source: RNAcentral